Dermochelys coriacea (leatherback sea turtle) is the source of this 2266-nucleotide long non-coding RNA. RefSeq lists it as uncharacterized. The record is from RefSeq and is a predicted model, not a curated record. NCBI's taxonomy places the organism in Eukaryota, Metazoa, Chordata, Testudines, Dermochelyidae. The transcript has 2 exons.
AAAUAGAAUAGAGGACUCCCAAAAUGUAUGCAAGUGGUUGAACUAGAGAUACUAUCGGCUCUAAGAUCUAUGGAUAAUUGUUAUGCUCUCUGAUCUCCAGAUCAAGGAAUAUCAGACCUUCAAGACCUAUUUUAUAAGUUGUCACAAAGUGAUUUACAAACUGGAUCACUUCACUCACCACAGAAAUGCACUGCUGAGGUAAAGUGUUGUAACUAAGAGUGCACAGCAAUACUUACAUAGCAGUUUAGGACAGGAAGUGAAGGAUGCCUUGUCUUCUUGAAACUACAUAAGGAAUUUAUAUAGUUGGAAUACAAUUACCUGAAUUGGAACUUGGCCAGGACCAUAAUAUCCUCAAUUUCAUGAGAUUUAUAGCAGUGGUAAUUAGCAGAUGACUUCUAUUGGCUAUUCCAUUGAGAAACUUCUUUCAAUUUGAAGAAAAGCAAGGGAAAGUGUAUCGGUGGACGAAGUGGAGUCAAAAGGCACUGCGUUGUCAGACCAUAGACAGUGAUUGGCAGGGUCUGCUAUAAGAAAUCCAGUCUUGCUCUUUCACCCAGGGCUGGACCAAUAUCACAACAAGCAUCAAGCUUAAAGGGAAGAACAGACACAUAGGAUACUGUGAAUAAAAUAGGGCACCUCCAGGCUUUGGAAAACAUCUCUCUGCUGCAUUAAGGGGCAUAUCCCGUUCCUGAGAUACAUGGAACCAAUGUGGUUGCUGUGGAAAGGAAUAGGGCAGGAUUUGAAGAGGCUACACAGGUUGUCUGCAUCUUGUAUGUGAAGCAAUGCUGUGUGGAGGGCACAGUUACACUUGCUCACAGGAAUAGUUUCAGAGCCAGGUAGGAUGACAUGCAACUGUGGAUCGACUGGCCAUCCAUUCCUAUGGAGAAAGUACAGGAAUUGCAGAACCAUGGCCAUUGUAGAGCAUUCAGAAGCCUGAAAAGUAGCAUUGACAUGGUGUGCUUUACACAUAUCCCAAAGCUAAUUUUUAGCACACAGACUAGCUUUCCAGGUCUAAGAAAGACUUUCUGACCCAUCUUUUCAUUCUUUAGAAUAGUCAAUUAAUUAAUUUAGUUUGUAUAUUUAGGUAGCUUAGUACCAAGCUUUUAUUUUAAUAUUUAUAAAGUUAUAGCAUGGUAUUUAUUUACAACAACAUGAACGUGUGAUUAUUUGUUUCUUGAAAGGCACACAUUAUGGAAUUACCAGUAUGUUAUUUAAUACUGUAUUUGGAAAUCACCUGAGGACCUCUAGAAUGUUCAGCAACAGUAAACUGUCAGGCCAGCUAGAACAAAAGAAAAGCAUCAUAGCUUGAAACUACUGAUAUAUGGAAUUAUCCUGCAAGUGAAAUAAACCAGCAACUCAGUGGUGAGAAAAACAUGAGUCAAAUUCUUUCCUUCAAUGAAUUCACAGUUCCUAUUAAAAUCAGCGGUAGCCACAAACCAAAUUCUGCUCUUGUGCAAUGUGAUGCCCAUUCCUCAAUGAGUGCUCCAGGUACGCAUCCAAGGGCAGAAUUUCUCCAUCAUGGUAUAUGACAGUGAUAGUAUUUAAAGGAAAAGGUGCAAAAAGCGUAGGCCUUGUACCUGCCUGUCACAUUCAAAUACUAACCUAUGUGUGAAAGGCUUUUCAGAGCUGAUUACUAUUCCAAAUGCCUGAGCCAGCCAGUCCUCCAAGCUGUGUAAUUCAAUGCAGUGGGAAUCCUAGCAGAUAAACAGGCAAAGUUCUCUGUCACUGUGACAUAUCAUGACCCAAAAGCUGGUUUUGAGCAUAGCCUAGAGAAUCCUACUACUGAUUCAGAAGCACCAUUUUUGGUUUGCCCAUUGAGGAAUCUACCCUCUCCCCUAGGGCCCCUGCUCUUUGGAGAUGGCUAUAAUUGUGAAGGGAGAGAGGGAGAGUGUGAUGCCGGAGGCUAGAGCCAGGGCUGCUCAUUGAAUCAGCUUGAAGGGGAUGUAGAUGUAACCAGCCAUCCCCAAUCCCCUGGAGACUAAGUGCCACAACUCUACUUUCAUAAGGAGCUAGCAAGAGACCCCAGUUCACCUCUUGACUCAGGUAGCUGCUAGCACAACAUGAUCUUUGCUCCCAAGCUGCCAAACUGAUGCUAUUUUUAAAACAUUCCCAUACAGAUUAAUUUCAAAUAAAGCAGUUCAAGUGCAGCAUCUUAAGGAAAACUUUCAAAUAACAACAGCAGCAUAUAAUUUCCACAUCCCUUUCAUCCUAAAAUGUGCAAGUAGAUUAUUGCGGCUUAGGUUAAACUCAAAAGUCCUCUCUCCAAGUG